GACGAACGCUGGCGGCGUGCCUAAUACAUGCAAGUAGAACGCUGAAGGAGGAGCUUGCUUCUCUGGAUGAGUUGCGAACGGGUGAGUAACGCGUAGGUAACCUGCCUGGUAGCGGGGGAUAACUAUUGGAAACGAUAGCUAAUACCGCAUAACAGUAGAUAUCGCAUGAUAGCUGCUUGAAAGGUGCAAUUGCACCACUACCAGAUGGACCUGCGUUGUAUUAGCUAGUUGGUGAGGUAACGGCUCACCAAGGCGACGAUACAUAGCCGACCUGAGAGGGUGAUCGGCCACACUGGGACUGAGACACGGCCCAGACUCCUACGGGAGGCAGCAGUAGGGAAUCUUCGGCAAUGGACGGAAGUCUGACCGAGCAACGCCGCGUGAGUGAAGAAGGUUUUCGGAUCGUAAAGCUCUGUUGUAAGAGAAGAACGAGUGUGAGAGUGGAAAGUUUACACUGUGACGGUAUCUUACCAGAAAGGGACGGCUAACUACGUGCCGGCAGCCGCGGUAAUACGUAGGUCCCGAGCGUUGUCCGGAUUUAUUGGGCGUAAAGCGAGCGCAGGCGGUUAGAUAAGUCUGAAGUUAAAGGCUGUGGCUUAACCAUAGUACGCUUUGGAAACUGUUUAACUUGAGUGCAAGAGGGGAGAGUGGAAUUCCAUGUGUAGCGGUGAAAUGCGUAGAUAUAUGGAGGAACACCGGUGGCGAAAGCGGCUCUCUGGCUUGUAACUGACGCUGAGGCUCGAAAGCGUGGGGAGCAAACAGG
RNAcentral lists this ribosomal RNA (763 nucleotides) under uncultured Streptococcus sp. RNAcentral describes it as "bacterial SSU rRNA". It matches the Rfam family "Bacterial small subunit ribosomal RNA", at positions 28 to 776 of the family's 1533-position model. The record is from RNAcentral. Lineage: Bacteria; Bacillati; Bacillota; Bacilli; Lactobacillales; Streptococcaceae.